UUGGUAAACAUCUUCAUCAUCACUGCCCAGAAAGUAUGGGAGAAGUCAGAAUUGAGCAUGCUACAGACUGAUAGAUUAGAUAAAAAUAGAAUUUAUAUCAGAGAAACAAUGGAAAUAAAAACAGAUAGGAAUCUGGUAAUGCAAGCCCCUUUUUCACCCGCCCAAUUCACUUUUAUACUUGCUCAAACUCAUUAUACCCGCAUAAGUUGUUGACAAUGUUUAGAUUCAGGAAAGAAGUAUUGGAAGUAAAGCAGCUGCUCAACUGCUGGAAAAAUUGAGACCUCCUUAUUGGUUUUCUGCUCACUUGCACUACAAAUUUGCUACAGCAGAUGGGAAUCUGGCAAUCAUAAUCUGCCAAUCAACUGAAAAAGAUAGCUACAACUAAUUUCCGGACCUCCACAACGCUGUGAUCAAUGCAUAUUCCAAGUUAAUAAAUUGGGUAGCUAACACACAAAACAAGAACGAAUUAAAAAACAAUCUGUACCCAGCCGCAUAAGGCAAUGCUGAGUAUAUUAUCUACUUAUUUAAAUUAUCCUAAACAGCCAUGUUGAUAAAAUUCAAUGCAAAUAUAGAAAAUGAAACCGACCAGACCUCAGCUAGGUCACAGCAUUACAGUAACCAAAGAAACAGAAGAGCCAUGUACUGGAUAUUUUCUAACAACCAAACAUAGCUUGAUAGGAUUAAUGCUAGCAUGAAUUCAUUUACCUAAUUAUUCCAAAAUUUUCUCCAGCAGGAAGCUGAAUGGAGUUGAGAUCGAUAAGGGAGCAAUCGAUACCAGCCGCGGCACCUCGAGCCUCUAUAUCAUUCAUUAUCAUCACGUCCGCCAUGAUUUCCUUCCUUUGCUUUUAGGAUCCUCUCUCUAGACCUUAGAGAGAGAAACAGAACAGUAGCCGACUGAAGAUAGAAGGAUGCGGAUUCGAGUACUGGAGGAAGACAGAGAAACCAGAGUGGCGUUUUUAGGGUUUUUGGCCAAGUUCUGAGAUUAGG
RNAcentral lists this unclassified non-coding RNA (987 nucleotides) under Hevea brasiliensis (rubber tree). Lineage: Eukaryota; Viridiplantae; Streptophyta; Magnoliopsida; Malpighiales; Euphorbiaceae. The record is from RNAcentral.